RNAcentral lists this ribosomal RNA (1431 nucleotides) under metagenome. RNAcentral's name for it is "bacterial SSU rRNA". It matches the Rfam family "Bacterial small subunit ribosomal RNA". The record is from RNAcentral.
GGCUCAGGAUGAACGCUGGCGGCGUGCUUAACACAUGCAUGUCGAACGAGCCUUCGGGCUAGUGGCGGACGGGUGAGUAACGCGUGGGAAUCUGCCCUCAGGAGGGGGAUAACGGCCGGAAACGGCCGCUAAUACCCCAUAUGCCGAGAGGUGAAACGAAUUUCGCCUGGGGAUGAGCCCGCGUCUGAUUAGCUAGUUGGUGAGGUAAUGGCCCACCAAGGCUUCGAUCAGUAGCUGGUCUGAGAGGAUGAUCAGCCACACUGGGACUGAGACACGGCCCAGACUCCUACGGGAGGCAGCAGUGGGGAAUUUUCCGCAAUGGGCGCAAGCCUGACGGAGCAACGCCGCGUGAGGGACGAAGGCCUCUGGGCUGUAAACCUCUUUUCUCAAGGAAGAAGACAUGACGGUACUUGAGGAAUAAGCCACGGCUAAUUCCGUGCCAGCAGCCGCGGUAAUACGGGAGUGGCAAGCGUUAUCCGGAAUUAUUGGGCGUAAAGCGUCCGCAGGCGGCCUUGAAAGUCUGUUGUUAAAGCGUGGAGCUCAACUCCAUUUAAGCAAUGGAAACUACAAGGCUAGAGUGUGGUAGGGGCAGAGGGAAUUCCCGGUGUAGCGGUGAAAUGCGUAGAUAUCGGGAAGAACACCAGUGGCGAAGGCGCUCUGCUGGGCCAUAACUGACGCUCAUGGACGAAAGCCAGGGGAGCGAAAGGGAUUAGAUACCCCUGUAGUCCUGGCCGUAAACGAUGAACACUAGGUGUCGGAAGAAUUAACCCUUUCGGUGUCGUAGCCAACGCGUUAAGUGUUCCGCCUGGGGAGUACGCACGCAAGUGUGAAACUCAAAGGAAUUGACGGGGGCCCGCACAAGCGGUGGAGUAUGUGGUUUAAUUCGAUGCAACGCGAAGAACCUUACCAGGGUUUGACAUCCUGCGAAUCCCUUGGAAACGGGGGAGUGCCUUCGGGAACGCAGUGACAGGUGGUGCAUGGCUGUCGUCAGCUCGUGUCGUGAGAUGUUGGGUUAAGUCCCGCAACGAGCGCAACCCACGUCUUUAGUUGCCAGCAUUCAGUUGGGCACUCUAGAGAGACCGCCGGUGAUAAACCGGAGGAAGGUGUGGAUGACGUCAAGUCAUCAUGCCCCUUACAUCCUGGGCUACACACGUACUACAAUGCUACGGAUAAAGGGCAGCAAACUCGCGAGAGCUAGCAAAUCCCAUAAACCGUGGCUCAGUUCAGAUCGUAGGCUGCAACUCGCCUACGUGAAGGAGGAAUCGCUAGUAAUCGCAGGUCAGCAUACUGCGGUGAAUACGUUCCCGGGCCUUGUACACACCGCCCGUCACACCAUGGAAGUUGGCCAUGCCCGAAGUCGUUACUCCAACCCGUAAGGGAGGAGGACGCCGAAGGUGGGGCUGAUGACUGGGGUGAAGUCGUAACAAGGUA